Long non-coding RNA from Homo sapiens (human), 373 nucleotides. The record is from Ensembl. NCBI's taxonomy places the organism in Eukaryota, Metazoa, Chordata, Mammalia, Primates, Hominidae.
GAGCCCACAGAGCAGGAGAGCUGCCAGGUCUGCCCAUCGACCAGGUUUGCAGCUCUCCCCUGGGCCACUAACCAUCCUGGCCCGGGCUGCCUGUCUGACCUCCGUGCCUAGUCGUGGCUCUCCAUCUUGUCUCCUCCCCGUGUCCCCAAUGUCUUCAGUGGGGGGCCCCCUCUUGGGUCCCCUCCUCUGCCAUCACCUGAAGACCCCCACGCCAAACACUGAAUGUCACCUGUGCCUGCCGCCUCGGUCCACCUUGCGGCCCGUGUUUGACUCAACUCAACUCCUUUAACGCUAAUAUUUCCGGCAAAAUCCCAUGCUUGGGUUUUGUCUUUAACCUUGUAACGCUUGCAAUCCCAAUAAAGCAUUAAAAGUC